GGAGUUUGAAUUCUAGAAAGCUGGGCUUUCAGAGUGUUACUGUAGCAUGUCCAUGAGUAGGUCCACACUUUCAGAGUGUGAGCUGUGCUUAUGACUCAGUUCUUUCUCUCCAGAGAUUUCCACAGCCUCUGUCUUCCCUCUGAACCUGAUGCUUCAGCCUUUGUUGGACACCCAUAUGAAGGAACCUGUCUAAAUCCAUGCUCAGAAGGGGAUUAAAGUUGGACACAUGGAGAUGCCCAGAGCCUGCUGUUGUAUUCAUGGUGCCUCUGACCCUGUGGCCCAAUUUGCCUCGACUCAGUGAGGUGACAGAGUUCUGCCAUUAAAUCUCAAAUUCAAUUCCUAUCUGGUUGGGUGGCCCCAAGUUUAGGGAGCUUGAUAGGCUGUCUGUGGUCUGAGUGUCCUUUGCAUGUUUGCAAGCAGAACUCUGGAUCCAUAACCACCUGGCUUGAAUGUUGGAUGUGCAGUUUUCUGGUGGGGAGUUUGGCUUCUGGAA
This 493-nucleotide long non-coding RNA is filed under the name Sus scrofa (pig). RNAcentral describes it as "lncRNA (ENSSSCG00055020839.1)". Lineage: Eukaryota; Metazoa; Chordata; Mammalia; Artiodactyla; Suidae. The record is from RNAcentral.